UAUUGCACAAUGGGCGCAAGCCUGAUGCAGCCAUGCCGCGUGUGUGAAGAAGGCCUUCGGGUUGGAAAGCACUUUCAGCGGGGAGGAAGGCGACAAGGUUACUAACCUUGUCGAUUGACGUUACCCGCAGAAGAAGCACCGGCUAACUCCGUGCCAGCAGCCGCGGUAAUACGGAGGGUGCAUGCGUUAAUCGGAAUUACUGGGCGUAAAGCGCACGCAGGCGGUCUGUCGAGUCGGAUGUGAAGUCCCAGGGCUCAACCUGGGAACUGCAUUCGAAACUGGCAGGCUAGAGUCGUGUAGAGGGGGGUAGAAUUCCAGGUGUAGCGGUGAAAUGCGUAGAGAUCUGGAGGAAUACCGGUGGCGAAGGCGGCCCCCUGGACAAAGGCUGACGCUCAGGUGCGAAGGCGUGGGGAGCAAACAGG
RNAcentral lists this ribosomal RNA (422 nucleotides) under uncultured bacterium. RNAcentral describes it as "bacterial SSU rRNA". It matches the Rfam family "Bacterial small subunit ribosomal RNA", at positions 362 to 776 of the family's 1533-position model. The record is from RNAcentral.